AGGCCGCUUACUGUAGAAGCUUGGAGGGAGAUCAGUUGCCAUGGAAGUUCGGUUGGAGACCACUUAUCGUAGAAGCUUGGAUGAAGUCCAUUUACAGCAGAAACUCGAAUGAAGUUUGCUUGCGGUAGAAGCUCGGAUGAAAUCGAUUGAAGCUUGGAUGAAAUUCGAAAGGCAAUCGACCACUGUAGAAACUUGGAUAAAGUCUGGUUACUAUAGAAGCACUACUGCUAGAGAAGCCCGAACAUUGACGAAGUCCAGAAGGAGCUCGAGGUAAAGUCGAUUGCGACAGGAGGAAGUCCGAGAG
RNAcentral lists this long non-coding RNA (304 nucleotides) under Elaeis guineensis (African oil palm). RNAcentral's name for it is "long non-coding RNA (EGUI_LNC070370)". Lineage: Eukaryota; Viridiplantae; Streptophyta; Magnoliopsida; Arecales; Arecaceae. The record is from RNAcentral.